GGUUAAGUGACUAAGCGUACAUGGUGGAUGCCUUGGCAGUCAGAGGCGAUGAAGGACGUACUAACCUGCGAUAAGCCGUGAGCAGUCGGUAAGAGACAUUACGACUCACGGAUUUCCGAAUGGGGAAACCCACUUAGCAUAAGCUAGGUAUCGCUGCGUGAAUACAUAGCGUAGCGAGGCGAACCGGGAGAACUGAAACAUCUAAGUACCCCGAGGAAAAGAAAUCAACCGAGAUUCCCUCAGUAGCGGCGAGCGAACGGGGAUUAGCCCUUAAGCAUCUUGGAAGUUAGUGGAACGGUCCUGGAAAGGCCGGCGAUACAGGGUGAUAGCCCCGUACACGAAAACAACCUUGAUGUGAAAUCGAGUAGGGCGGGACACGUGACAUCCUGUCUGAAUAUGGGGGGACCAUCCUCCAAGGCUAAAUACUCCUGACUGACCGAUAGUGAACCAGUACCGUGAGGGAAAGGCGAAAAGAACCCCUGUGAGGGGAGUGAAAUAGAACCUGAAACCGUGUACGUACAAGCAGUGGGAGCCCUUCGGGGUGACUGCGUACCUUUUGUAUAAUGGGUCAGCGACUUACAUUUUGUAGCGAGGUUAACCGUAUAGGGGAGCCGUAGGGAAACCGAGUCUUAACUGGGCGUCUAGUUGCAAGGUGUAGACCCGAAACCGGGUGAUCUAGCCAUGGGCAGGUUGAAGGUUGAGUAACAUCAACUGGAGGACCGAACCCACUAACGUUGCAAAGUUAGGGGAUGACCUGUGGCUGGGGGUGAAAGGCCAAUCAAACUCGGAGAUAGCUGGUUCUCCCCGAAAGCUAUUUAGGUAGCGCCUCGGACGAAUACUACUGGGGGUAGAGCACUGUUUGGGCUAGGGGGUCAUCCCGACUUACCAACCCCAUGCAAACUCCGAAUACCAGUAAGUAAUAUCCGGGAGACACACGGCGGGUGCUAACGUCCGUCGUGAAGAGGGAAACAACCCAGACCGCCGGCUAAGGUCCCAAAGUUCUGGUUAAGUGGGAAACGAUGUGGGAAGGCUCAGACAGCUAGGAUGUUGGCUUAGAAGCAGCCAUCAUUUAAAGAAAGCGUAAUAGCUCACUAGUCGAGUCGGCCUGCGCGGAAGAUGUAACGGGGCUCAAACCAGGCACCGAAGCCGCGGAUUCACGCUAAGCGUGAGUGGUAGGGGAGCGUUCUGUAAGUCUGCGAAGGUGUGUCGAGAGGCAUGCUGGAGAUAUCAGAAGUGCGAAUGCUGACGUAAGUAACGAUAAAGGGGGUGAAAAGCCUCCUCGCCGGAAGACCAAGGGUUCCUGUCCAACGUUAAUCGGGGCAGGGUGAGUCGACCCCUAAGGCGAGGCCGAAAGGCGUAGUCGAUGGGAAGCAGGUUAAUAUUCCUGCACGACUUGUAAUUGCGAUGGGGGGACGGAGAAGGCUAGGUGGGCCAGGCGACGGUUGUCCUGGUGAAAGUGCGUAGGUGGUGUUUCUAGGCAAAUCCGGAGACACAACACUGAGACACGAGACGAACACACUACGGUGUGGAAGCCAUUGAUGCCCUGCUUCCAGGAAAAGCCUCUAAGCUUCAGAUUACAAGUCAUCGUACCCCAAACCGACACAGGUGGUCGGGUAGAGAAUACCAAGGCGCUUGAGAGAACUCGGGUGAAGGAACUAGGCAAAAUAGAACCGUAACUUCGGGAGAAGGUUCGCUCUUGACAGUGAAGUCCCUUGCGGAUGGAGCAGUUGGGAGUCGCAGUGACCAGAUGGCUGGGACUGUUUAUCAAAAACACAGCACUCUGCAAACACGAAAGUGGACGUAUAGGGUGUGACACCUGCCCGGUGCCGGAAGGUUAAUUGAUGGGGUUAGCGCAAGCGAAGCUCUUGAUCGAAGCCCCGGUAAACGGCGGCCGUAACUAUAACGGUCCUAAGGUAGCGAAAUUCCUUGUCGGGUAAGUUCCGACCUGCACGAAUGGUGUAACCAUGGCCAUGCUGUCUCCACCCGAGACUCAGUGAAAUCGAAUUCGCCGUGAAGAUGCGGUGUACCCGCGGCUAGACGGAAAGACCCCGUGAACCUUUACUACAGCUUGGCACUGAACAUUGAACCUACAUGUGUAGGAUAGGUGGGAGGCUUUGAAGGCGUGACGCCAGUUGCGCUGGAGCCGUCCUUGAAAUACCACCCUUGUAUGUUUGAUGUUCUAACGCAGGCCCGUGAAUCCGGGUCGCGGACAGUGCCUGGUGGGUAGUUUGACUGGGGCGGUCUCCUCCCAAAGAGUAACGGAGGAGCACGAAGGUUGGCUAAUCCUGGUCGGACAUCAGGAGGUUAGUGCAAUGGCAUAAGCCAGCUUAACUGCGAGACGGACAGGUCGAGCAGGUACGAAAGUAGGUCAUAGUGAUCCGGUGGUUCUGAAUGGAAGGGCCAUCGCUCAACGGAUAAAAGGUACUCCGGGGAUAACAGGCUGAUACCGCCCAAGAGUUCAUAUCGACGGCGGUGUUUGGCACCUCGAUGUCGGCUCAUCACAUCCUGGGGCUGAAGUCGGUCCCAAGGGUAUGGCUGUUCGCCAUUUAAAGUGGUACGCGAGCUGGGUUCAGAACGUCGUGAGACAGUUCGGUCCCUAUCUGCCGUGGGCGUUGGAUGAUUGAAGGGAGUUGCUCCUAGUACGAGAGGACCGGAGUGAACGAACCUCUGGUGUUCGGGUUGUCACGCCAGUGGCACUGCCCGGUAGCUAAGUUCGGAAUCGAUAACCGCUGAAAGCAUCUAAGCGGGAAGCGAGCCCUGAGAUGAGUCAUCCCUGACCCCUUGAGGGUCCUAAAGGGCCGUUGGAGACCACAACGUUGAUAGGUGGGGUGUGUAAGCGCGGCGACGUGUUGAGCUAACCCAUACUAAUUACCCGUGAGGCUUAACCAU
Molecule: ribosomal RNA, 2889 nt
Filed under: Aeromonas hydrophila
Lineage: Bacteria; Pseudomonadati; Pseudomonadota; Gammaproteobacteria; Aeromonadales; Aeromonadaceae
Description: 23S ribosomal RNA
Rfam family: Bacterial large subunit ribosomal RNA
Source: RNAcentral